Molecule: ribosomal RNA, 359 nt
Filed under: uncultured Candidatus Saccharibacteria bacterium
Lineage: Bacteria; Candidatus Saccharimonadota
Description: bacterial SSU rRNA
Rfam family: Bacterial small subunit ribosomal RNA
Source: RNAcentral
UAGGGAAUCUUUCACAAUGGGCGAAAGCCUGAUGGAGCAACGCCGCGUGCAGGAUGAAGGCCUUCGGGUUGUAAACUGCUUUUAUAAGCGAGAAAUAUGAUGGUAACUUAUGAAUAAGGAUCGGCUAACUACGUGCCAGCAGCCGCGGUCAUACGUAGGAUCCGAGCAUUAUCCGGAGUGACUGGGUGUAAAGAGUUGCGUAGGUGGCAUAAUAAGUAGCUAGUGAAAUCUGGUGGCUCAACCAUUCAGACUAUUAGCUAAACUGUUAAGCUCGAGACCGUUAGGGGUAACUGGAAUUUCUAGUGUAGGAGUGAAAUCCGUAGAUAUUAGAAAGAACACCAAUAGCGUAGGCAGGUUAC